CCUACGGGAGGCAGCAGUAGGGAAUUUUCGGCAAUGGGGGGAACCCUGACCGAGCAACGCCGCGUGAACGAAGAAGUUAUUCGUAAUGUAAAGUUCUUUUAACAGGGAAGAAAGAGAAAUUUGACGGUACCUGAAGAAUAAGCUCCGGCUAACUACGUGCCAGCAGCCGCGGUAAUACGUAGGGAGCGAGCGUUAUCCGGAAUGACUGGGCGUAAAGGGUGCGUAGGUGGUUUGACAAGUUGGUAGCGUAACUCCGGGGCUCAACCUCGGCACUACUACCAAAACUGUCGGACUUGAGUGCAGGAGGGGCAAAUGGAAUUCCUAGUGUAGCGGUGGAAUGCGUAGAUAUUAGGAAGAACACCAGUGGCGAAGGCGAUUUGCUGGACUGUAACUGACACUGAGGCACGAAAGCGUGGGGAGCGAACAGGAUUAGAUACCCCAGUAGUC
This 447-nucleotide ribosomal RNA is filed under the name uncultured bacterium. Its description in RNAcentral is "partial 16S ribosomal RNA". It matches the Rfam family "Bacterial small subunit ribosomal RNA", at positions 338 to 795 of the family's 1533-position model. The record is from RNAcentral.